Molecule: long non-coding RNA, 2798 nt
Organism: Meleagris gallopavo (turkey)
Lineage: Eukaryota; Metazoa; Chordata; Aves; Galliformes; Phasianidae
Source: Ensembl
UAUCAUAGGUCUUAAAGUGCUUACCAAAGGUAAGAAAAUAAAUACAAAUCCUUCUCAUUCUGCAGUCUACCUGGUUGUGGGCUGAAGAAAGCUGCAUCUGCUCGAGCCUUGGGCUGUGCUCUGAGACUGUGUCCAUGCUCUUCUUGACACAGCGUGUUUAAAGGCAGAAACCUCCACAAGAGCCAUGCUGCAUUGCUCCCUGCUAUCUUCCUCAUGGGCAGCAUCCCCAAAGGACUUCUGCUCCAUCUUCGUGCAAAAGUCCAGGUGGUUCAUCAUUGCACCAAAACCAUGGGCCCCAGUUCUGCUGAAUGAAAACACCUCAUCCUGCUCCUCUCCUGCUUGCUUGUACUUGCUUGUACUUCCUGCAUUCUACUUGUUGCUUGUUUCAGGUGAACGGAAAAGCAGCAUGAUUCAUACAAAAUGAAGUGAGAUUGAAGUUUAUCGCAAGAGAUAAUGUAAGCAAAGCAAACACAGGAGAAAACAAGGUGAGAAUGAAACGAUCGUGACAGUACUGCAAGCAGCAGUACCCACAGCUUGUAAGCUGCCUCACAUUAACUGAGACUUAGCACUGUAGGCUCAGAAAAAAAAUUUAAAAGGAGGGGAAAUGUUUCAGGAGAAGGUAUUUCCCUAAACUCUCUGUUCCCCAUCUCUUUUUUGUGAGCAGCUUCUCAGAGGCCUGGCAGUUCCUCCCAUCUCCCCAUGAAUCAAACCAAUAUGUGCAUACAGUCUGCUAGAGGCAGGAUAGCACAUGGAGCUCAUAAAGUAUCCCAGGGCAGCUCCAAACUUGCCACGUACACACUGGAGGGACAUACUUGACUUCAAAUAAAGUAUUUUCUUGGAAUUAGAUCAGCAGCUGGCACUGCCCAUUGGGGCUCUGGCAGUUCAGAUGUUCUUGCUACUUGGCCACAUGCUGAACUUCUUGCUGCUGUGCAUCACUGAGGUUACAGCCCUUCCUGAAGCCUGUAAUGUCUAACCAUUCAGACUUUCAAGGGGAUAUGCACUAACCCUUAGUUAUGGAGAAUGGAAGGAGACUUGGGCGCACCUUACAGUGUCCUGAUCUGCUGUUUCCCUUGUGCUCACAGAGUUAUGGACUUUAAUAUGUUCUAGUUUGCUGUGAAUUUUGCUUUAAAUUAAAUCUUGAAUUUAAAUUAACCCUACAGUAAGCUUUCAGCUUUGGGGCUCCAGCCAUUUUCUACUUCUCUUUUUCCAUUUUUUUUUUAUCCUCAGAAAUAAGCAAUUGAAUACUGGCCCUAGGUUGGCAUAGGUCCAGAGCAGCUAGAUGGUAAUGAUUACAGAAGAGACAUUAUAGUCAGUUUAGUAAGUGAAGCAGCAUGUAAGUACCACCUACUUGACUGUAGCCUUAUAACCUGAAGAAACACAUGCAGGCACACACAAAUAAUGUGUUUAACAACAGAUGGUAUAAAUCAGUCCACUUAAUUUAAAUACCCGAUUUAUAAGGUGCUGCUUUCUGGGAAGAAGUUAGCACGCUUACCCAGUUUGUCCAUGGGACAGUGGAGACUUACUCUUUUGCUUACAGCCCUCUUGCUGUCCUAGUAGGCCCUGCAUGCUGGCAGCAUCUGAUGACAAGCAGCCAGCAGCUCUGGCGCUGCUGUCCCUCCAGCUUUCACCCAGUGGUUGGCAUGCUGUCCCCAGGCAGUGGCACCAUCACAGCACCAUCCUGGCUGCACCACCAUCCCACUCAUCCCUGGCAGGCUGGUGUGGAAAUGGAUGGCUGUUCCUGUGUCCCCAAAUACCCUCUGGGUAGGUAGGGUGUGCCCAGUUCCUAAUCCUGGUUGCAAGAAGAGGACCAGCAGCACAGCCAGGUUAGCACAGUUAGCACAGUGAGCUAAUGGGUUGAGGUGUUGUGUUAGGUAGUAAAGAAAAGCAGAUGGGUUAGACUGCUCACUGAAAUUCAGCUGAAUUUUAAGUACAUGCAUUUCAGAUUUGAUAGGAUUUAGGUAAGCUAAAUCCUCCCCUACUUACCUGUGGUAAUGGAGCAAAUCUUUGGCAAACUCAACCCUUGGUCCAAAUAAACCAAAGUAAAUCAGGCUAUUGUGUACACUAGAAGGCAAUACAGCCUUUGCUGUAUCUGUAACAGCUUACACUGGUGAAGAGUCUGGGAUGACAGAUUUUUUGUUUAUUUAAGUCAAGCUGAUGCCAUGAAACUCAGAAAAUGUAAGAUGUACAUCAAUAGGUGUUAAUAUGUCACUGACAGACAAAUCCCUGUUUAACCUUUCGCCCACGCAAACUCCCAAGGGAGCUCCACCUUAACCCAUGAUAACAAAAAACACUUGGUGGAGGAAGGAUUUAAGCAUUUAGUUUUGGAUGGUAUCUCUAGUUUGAAGGGAGUGCUGCACAUUCAGACUGCAGAUGCAGCUCCCAGGAGGCUAUGAGCAGUGCAAACAGGGUCUGAUGGCUCAUACAUGCUGAUGAUGACUGCAGAUAAAGAGGUAUUCUUUUUGUUUUGUUUUUCCCUGUUGUGACUGGAUGCCGGGGUGACCAGAGGUACAAUUAGGCGGACAGAUUGGAUGGAUGGAAAUCUUGGUUCUUUAGGGCAAAAAGUGUCAGUUUGGAUGAAGAAUUUUCUGCAUUUCAGCAUGAUGCUUGCACAGCACAUUUACCUACUACAUGACAUAUCAAAAUUUUAUUUUUAAUGAACUGGAGUCGGUCUUAGGAAGAGGAUUGUACUUUGUGUGUUUCAGAACAUUUCCAGAGAUUGACUCAUAAUGUCAGAACCCCAAAAUGUGCUAGGUGAGAGAGAGCUCCUAAUAAGAGCCAUGAAAGAGAAACUCUCUCAG